AAAUUUCCCGCCUAAAUGUAUUGAUGACAUUAUUUUAAUAAUUUUUUUUUUCUUUUCUGCUAAAUCCUUCCAUCUAUUAUGCCUAGAAAAUAGUACUAUUCCCAUUUCCCCCAACUAUUGAAAACCCUUAGGGGCCGUUUAGUUCGCUGGAAUGGGGAAAGGGAAUGAGAAUGAUUCCCUUUGUUAGUGUUUGUUUUCACAAUUUUGUCAUUUCCAUUCCCCCAUUUUAUUUUUGGGUUUACCCAAAAAUCCCCUAAACCCAUUCCCCACUCCCCUACCUUUUGCAUUCCCAUUCCCCUUCAUUACUCACGCCCCUUUCUCUCUCCUCUCAAGCCUCUCCAUUGCUUGGAUGCUCCCUGCCAUGGUCGAAGACGUUGCCGCCGCCGGUGAGCCACGGUCCGACCGAGCCUUCCGGUGUGCACGUCAAGAUCGCGGGUGAAGCUAAGUCGAACACCGACGCCCCUCUCUCUCUCUCUUCUCAAGCUUCUCAUAAUUCGAGCUAAUAGUUCUUGCGAGCAAGAUACUGAUUCUACUACACCCAAUUCAUCUUCUUCUUCUUCGUCGGAGAAAAACGACGCGAAACAGGGGAGCAAAGGGGCGUCGAAUUCGAGCUCGUCGUCGCAACCGUCGUCGUCUUCUUCUUCUUCGCCGAGGAGAGAGAAAGAGGGUAAGAGUUGGUUUAAAGGUUUUGGGGGGAAAUGGCGGUGGCAGCCAUUGAUUCAAGCUCAAGAAAUUGGGGUUUUGAUUUUGUAAUGCAGUUUUCAUUUUUUUCUUGAAUUUAUGUAACUUUGUGGAUUUGUCUUGUUUUAAAUUGAUAUUACUCUUUAAUUUGUUCAUAAGUGCCUUCAUGGUGAUUGAAUUUUCUAUAGAAUUUGCCAUUGU
Molecule: long non-coding RNA, 882 nt
Organism: Chenopodium quinoa (quinoa)
Lineage: Eukaryota; Viridiplantae; Streptophyta; Magnoliopsida; Caryophyllales; Amaranthaceae
Exons: 2
Source: RefSeq, a predicted model, not a curated record